This is a long non-coding RNA of Nicrophorus vespilloides, 973 nucleotides long. RefSeq lists it as uncharacterized. The record is from RefSeq and is a predicted model, not a curated record. The transcript has 4 exons. NCBI's taxonomy places the organism in Eukaryota, Metazoa, Arthropoda, Insecta, Coleoptera, Silphidae.
GUACAUUUGUAGUUUCGUCUUUGUGAAGACCACAUUUGUUGAUGUGGUUGUGGUGCUAAACUGUCUCGUUCAUUAGUGAAAAAGGAGUCUCAACAUGUCCUUUGCGCGUAUAAAGCCAUUUAAAAAACUUGAGUUGGAUUGUUAAAGAAUUUAUCAAACAUAAACUGUUUGCUGGCAAUUGAACUAUUAUAUUGUUUCUAUGGAUCUCCAGGCAUUGCUGUGCUAAUAUGUCAGCUACAUUCAUUAAUAAGGAGUCCCAACACAUCCAAACCUUUGCGCGCCUAACAUCAUUUAAUAAACGUGGAGUUGGAGUGUCGGGACACUCCAACUCAAAUUUAUAAAAUAGACUGCAAGUAGUCAGUAUUAUAUAAGACAUGGAUAUCCAAAUAAUCCCACUAACUUUAAGCGUGCGAAAGUUUGGAUAUGUUGAGACUCCUUUUUAAUUAAAGUAACUAACAUUAUGACACACUAAUGCCUGGACAUCAAUGGGAACAAUUUUUUUUAUCAGAUUUGCUGACUAUCUUCUCUGAAUAAUCUAUGCUCAAUUCAGCAAGGUGCUUUUCGAUCAGUUGUGAAGGGACAAACUGUGGAAUAAGAAAAACGUAAAGGUCAUAGGAAAUCAGACAUGAAGGACAUGCAUACAUGUAUUAUGGAGUCAUUGCAAAGAGUUGGUUGAUACAUAUUUCAAUCAGUUGGCUUAUGAUAAGCCGACGAGAGAUACACCAUUGAGGAAGGAAACUAAUGUGUCCAAGAAUAUUAUGGAGAUAUCCUCCUCAGUAUUAUCAUGAUUCCAUAAUUGUAAUUGAUGGUGGUAUCAUUGAAAUAGAUACCUAAGUGUGUGCAGAGUAUAGACUAAAGUAAAUGUUUUACUCCUAACAUAGAUUCACCUCAUCUUGAAGAAUGCUCGUCAUAUAUUGUUUGCUGUGUUAUGUGUUAAUAUGUUUUAUCUAUUUCAAUAAAUAAUUCCAAUUAA